GUGCCCGGCCUAAAAGACUAGUUCGUAACAGAGAUCUAGAAGCCUUCCUCCUCCUUAUAGCAGUAACACUGUCUUCUUCUGCUGGGCCUUGUGUAUUUGUGACUAGUAGACUUUUGUUCUAAUCUUUAUUUUCUGUUCACGCUGAUGCUAUGAAAUCUGCUCUGAGGUAGGUAUUGAGUAGAAAAAUCUAAUAAAAAAACAUUUUAAAACAUGUUAAUACAAUAAAAUUAAAUAUUAAUGCAUGCUUAUAUAUAACUGAAUAGGUGUUAGUUACCAAAAACAAGGCUUAAAAUGACGAUAUACUUAGUUGAAAGAUAUAACUUUUCAAAGAAUAAAUGGGAGAAAAAAGGGUUAAUGUAAUCAUUCAAGUCAACUAAACGUCAUUUAUUUGUUUACCUGUGUCAUUCUGGGAGAAUUUUCUUCUCUCCCUGCUAGUUCAUCACUCCAACUAAAAAUUGACUAUUAUCUUUAUAUGUAUGGUAAAUAAAAUUUAGAAAGUCAUGAUUUUAACUUAUUCACAUGACACCUAAAAUCACAGUAUACACUUCCUAGUUUAUGCAUACCAUAGCUUAAGAAACUUUCUUUUAUUUAUAAUGUGGCCUACUGGCCCUCCAGGGAAAACAGGAAAUCCAGGAAAAGGGAUUUAAAAGAGGGCAUUAGUUACAAUCCUAACUGUACACACACACACACACACACACACACACACACACACACACAACACACACAAUUAUAUAUAUCAAAGGAGAAAGCUAAAGAUUAACAGUUAAAGAAUCUGUUUAUAAAUUAGAAAAAUAUUAUCAGACUAUAAAGAAAGAGCAAGAAAUCAGUACAGAGUAGCAUCACAGAGUUAAGUUACCAGAAUGUUCCAAGGUAGUUACAAUCAACAGUAACAAGAGACACUUAAAAAUGAAUGGCAUAUUUCACUUAAGACAAUGUCCUCCAGUUUCAUCCAUAUUGUUGCAAAUAACAAGAUUUCCUUCUUUUUUAAGGCUUAAUAGUAUUCCAUUGCGCAUAUAGACCCCAUUUUUUACUCCAUUCAUCUGUUGAUGGCUGCACCUUGGCUCUUGAGAAUAAUGCAGCAGUGAACAUGGGAGUGCAGGUAAAGCUACAGAUCAUCUCAAAUUCAGCUUAACUGAGAACAAAACGGGAGAACAGGAUCAUUCAAAUUAUUAUGCUGAUGGAAUGGACUGAAAAUAAAUACCAUCUCACCUAACACUGAAAUAUAACUGACCAUGCUGUGAUAGUUAUUGCAUAAUCGUUCAUUUUUAUGGGAGAAACUGCUGACCUGGACAAUAUACUUUUGCCAGAUCCCACUGCUAAGGUUUUUUUUUCUAGGUACAUAGAUUUUGAAGCUCAUGAUUGCUCAUAAUUUUCCCCUCUAUAUUUAUUUGUAAAGAUAGCAACUGGAUUUUUAAUAAAGAACAAUCAAAAUAUAUGAAUGGAUUUUUGGCCAUUUUCUGAAACUUAGAAAAAGAGUUCAUACAUAAAUGUUGUUUAU
Molecule: long non-coding RNA, 1498 nt
Organism: Symphalangus syndactylus (siamang)
Lineage: Eukaryota; Metazoa; Chordata; Mammalia; Primates; Hylobatidae
Source: RefSeq, a predicted model, not a curated record